CUUGCGUUUCUAUUUCGUUGGUUUCUAGGACGCGAGUAAUGAUUAAUAGGGAUAGUUGGGGGCAUUCAUAUUUAAUUGUCAGAGGUGAAAUUCUUAGAUUUAUGAAAGAUGAACUACUGCGAAAGCAUUUGCCAAGGAUGUUUUCAUUAAUCAAGAACGAAAGUUAGGGGAUCGAAGACGAUCAGAUACCGUCGUAGUCUUAACCAUAAACUAUGCCGACUAGGGAUUGGCGGAUGUUUCCUUUACGACUCCUUCAGCACCUUUAGCGAAAGCAAAGUUUUUGGGUUCCGGGGGGAGUAUGGUCGCAAGGCUGAAACUUAAAGGAAUUGACGGAAGGGCACCACCAGGAGUGGAGCCUGCGGCUUAAUUUGACUCAACACGGGGAAACUC
RNAcentral lists this ribosomal RNA (390 nucleotides) under Eukaryota sp. Its description in RNAcentral is "SSU rRNA". It matches the Rfam family "Eukaryotic small subunit ribosomal RNA", at positions 827 to 1216 of the family's 1831-position model. The record is from RNAcentral.